CUGUGUGCAUAGCUAUUUGUGAGGUCCAAAAUGGCGGACACCCGAAUCUAUACCCACCCACGUUACAAACGUUCAAUUACACAACUACCGGUAAGCACCCGAAAGAAUGGAACUUCCGUUUCUACAAUUAGUCGAAUAAUAGAGGAACUCUUCGCCGAAGUAUCUGGUAUUCACAGAGAGAGAGAGAGAGAGAGAGAGAGAGUAAAAAGGAGAAAAAGAAAAGGACCUCACUUUUCGGAGGUGGUCAUUAAAACGCACACGAUUCGAACGAUGCAUUUUCAUAUCGAUCGAUGCGAAAGGAGGACACCCGGACUUUGAAGACCGCUAGCCGCGCGAAAGCAGAAAACAAGCGGUGCGAAAACCGCAUUCGCACAGGAUGCAGGAUCGACGUCUCCCCGAUCGGAAAGGAGA
RNAcentral lists this unclassified non-coding RNA (411 nucleotides) under Athalia rosae (coleseed sawfly). RNAcentral's name for it is "misc RNA ENSAEAG00005009608.1". Lineage: Eukaryota; Metazoa; Arthropoda; Insecta; Hymenoptera; Athaliidae. The record is from RNAcentral.